RNAcentral lists this ribosomal RNA (253 nucleotides) under uncultured bacterium. Its description in RNAcentral is "partial 16S ribosomal RNA". It matches the Rfam family "Bacterial small subunit ribosomal RNA", at positions 524 to 776 of the family's 1533-position model. The record is from RNAcentral.
UACGAAGGGGGCUAGCGUUGCUCGGAAUCACUGGGCGUAAAGGGUGCGUAGGCGGGUCUUUAAGUCAGGGGUGAAAUCCUGGAGCUCAACUCCAGAACUGCCUUUGAUACUGAAGAUCUUGAGUUCGGGAGAGGUGAGUGGAACUGCGAGUGUAGAGGUGAAAUUCGUAGAUAUUCGGAGGAACACCGGUGGCGAAGGCGGCCAACUGGACAGAUACUGACGCUGAGACUCGAAAGCGUGGGGAGCAAACAGG